This 337-nucleotide unclassified non-coding RNA is filed under the name soil metagenome. Its description in RNAcentral is "partial contains 5.8S ribosomal RNA, internal transcribed spacer 2, and large subunit ribosomal RNA". The stretch from base 1 to 120 matches the Rfam family "5.8S ribosomal RNA", at positions 35 to 154 of the family's 154-position model. The record is from RNAcentral.
GAUGAAGAACGCAGCGAAAUGCGAUAAGUAGUGUGAAUUGCAGAAUUCAGUGAAUCAUCGAAUCUUUGAACGCACAUUGCGCCCCUUGGUAUUCCAUGGGGCAUGCCUGUUCGAGCGUCAUUUGUACCUUCAAGCUCUGCUUGGUGUUGGGUGUUUGUCUCGCCUCUGCGUGUAGACUCGCCUCAAAACAAUUGGCAGCCGGCGUAUUGAUUUCGGAGCGCAGUACAUCUCGCGCUUUGCACUCAUAACGACGACGUCCAAAAGUACAUUUUUACACUCUUGACCUCGGAUCAGGUAGGGAUACCCGCUGAACUUAAGCAUAUCAAUAAGCGGACGA